AAUUUUGACAUGGAAGAACCUUUGGCCUAGAAGCCGUUAGCUAGCCCUAGCAUAAACACACCCAAGCUAAGCCGCGCAUUGUUUACAUAGCAUGCCUUCUCCUGACAGCGCGGAAAACAACAGCAACUAUCAGACAAACAUGCCCCGUCCUAUCUCAUUUGUUUGCUGAUAGGACGACAGACAAACCGCUAACAUUUGUCAACUCAAGCCACGCUGGAAAGAGAAGAUUUACCAAAUCAGUUUGAUAGCUUCAAGACUAGCAUUCGACAGAAACAUGGGAAGAAAUCCAUAAUCGGACACGUCUGGAGUUCCCAUAAUACUGUGGUAGAACUCGUGAAAAUUCCUUCCCAGCGCUGAGGGAUCAGGAGGUGUCCGGAGAUGGAACUAGCGCUCCGGCUAGCACGUUCAGACUGGGAAAAGGAAAACGAAGCGGCUCGAACCAACACAGCCCGGGACUCUCCCACUCCCCUCCAGGUCGCUCACCGUUCUUCAGCGGCUCCAGAUCCCCGGCGUCCCUCGUCUCUUCAGCUCCUUCCCCGGAGCUCAUGGCUGCCGCUACGACCCGGACUUCAGGAUCUCCCCCCAAAACCGACAGAUACGGUGUACGGCCACUCCCGUCUGAACAAAAGCCUCCUUAAUGCCACAUGGACGGUCACGGCGGCUCCUGAACAUUAGCCGAGCCAUCUGCACUCCUCCAUCUUGGGGGAGCGUAAUUGGAAACGGUCUGCCGGGGGCACCGGGUUCCUCCUCGGAGUGAGGCCGAGGGGAGAGUCCAGGGAGCGGGAGGGGCUGGCUCCGCGUGCUUUCGGAAGUGAUUCCUCAGUGGGUCAUCGGAGCACGAGGCGCUCCAACUUCUAUGAAGAGCUUUGAAGAAUAACGUCAUAACAGUAAAUCUGUUUCUGUGCAAAUGACGUUUUACCGCCCAAGAAAAUAUUUAUGUUCAGAUGUACACACUUUAGUUUUUCCAUUGUUUUCUGUUGUUAAAAAAAAAAAAAAAUCAAAAUGUGUAGUUACUCAUUUACAGAGAAGUUUGGGUUCAAACAGAAACAGGUCAGCUGGUUCGGUCAAAGUUCUGUCAGUUCUUCUUUCUUUGACUCAAUGGCUCCCUCUGCUGGUGGAAACAGGAACUUACACCUGCUGUCAAUUGGUCAAUAAUCUCUUU
RNAcentral lists this long non-coding RNA (1162 nucleotides) under Oryzias javanicus (javanese ricefish). RNAcentral's name for it is "lncRNA (ENSOJAG00000019734.1)". Lineage: Eukaryota; Metazoa; Chordata; Actinopteri; Beloniformes; Adrianichthyidae. The record is from RNAcentral.